This 1020-nucleotide long non-coding RNA is filed under the name Androctonus crassicauda. The record is from RNAcentral. Lineage: Eukaryota; Metazoa; Arthropoda; Arachnida; Scorpiones; Buthidae.
CUGAAUUUUCAAAAAAUUUUGUUUUAGAAUAAUAUAAAUAUUAACAUUAGUUGUUUUCUCUUAACUUAGCAAGAUUCCUUUAAAUACUAAUAUAUUUCAAUUUCGUGCUUUUCUUAUACCAUUUUAUUUGCUGAUAACUUUGCUAUUUACAUCAGUGCCUCGAUCCCCUCCUCUCAUGAGAAUGAGACCAAGCAGUCGCUCUUUCUCUCAUGGUGUUCAUGUAUUGCCACCUAUACCUGGGCAUUCAGGUAAUAGGAUGGUCGGUCAUAAUGUCCAUGCUAAAAUGUCCCAUAAUCGAAAAAUAGCCCAUCUGGGAAGGGCACAUAGUCAAGAUCGUAUGUUGGUAGGAUAUUACAGCAGUGAUGUUACAGAUCCUGAAGAUGAUGGUGAAGUCUAAUAUUUUUUACAUGAAAGUGAUUAUCUACCAUGUAAAAUCAUCCCAAGAUAAAUCUACUUUAUGUAGAAGUGCUGGUCACAGAAUAUUGAUUUUAUUUACCUAGUCCAUAAUUACUGAACAUCAAACUUUUAUUGAUUUUAGCCAUUCAUUGAAAUCCCUGCAAUGAUAUUCAUGUAUAUAAAAUAUAUAACUACAAAAAAACAAAUUAAGAUUAUAUAUAUAUUAUAUAUGAAAUCACACUGCAUCCUCAGUUACCAAAGAUGACAUAAUUUGGAUACAGUAGACUUAUUUGUGUUCUUCAGUGAUAUGUUUUGCCUCUGUGCAUAUGAGAAAAAUUAAUUUUUAUUUGUUAAACAAUUUAUAGUGUUCAUAAGAAGAAAAACAUUGUAUAUUUGUUAAUUUGUAAAUAAUUGGUUUCUAGAUUUAAAAUUUAUUAAUUUUAUUAUAAUUAUUACUAGUUUUUUGAACCAUUAAAAUGCUCGUUUUAAUGAAUUUGCAAAAUGCAUGAUCAUCAAAAGAUUGUAAAGUACAAAAUUUGUGAUUGGUAUAGAACUAAUGAUCAGUAAUUUUUUUUUUUUUUUAUUUAAGAUGUACAAAUCGAUAUUGAGUAUUUUAAUUGUGUU